Molecule: ribosomal RNA, 307 nt
Filed under: uncultured Phialocephala
Lineage: Eukaryota; Fungi; Ascomycota; Leotiomycetes; Helotiales
Description: eukaryotic LSU rRNA
Rfam family: 5.8S ribosomal RNA (bases 1-122)
Source: RNAcentral
UCGAUGAAGAACGCAGCGAAAUGCGAUAAGUAAUGUGAAUUGCAGAAUUCAGUGAAUCAUCGAAUCUUUGAACGCACAUUGCGCCCUGUGGUAUUCCGCAGGGCAUGCCUGUUCGAGCGUCAUUUAACCACUCACGCCUAGCGUGGUAUUGGGGCACGCGGUCUCGCGGCCCUCAAAAUUAGUGGCGGCGCCGGUGGGCUCUAAGCGUAGUACAUACUCCCGCUAUAGAGUUCCCCCGGUGGCUCGCCAGAACCCCCAAUUUUUACAGGUUGACCUCGGAUCAGGUAGGGAUACCCGCUGAACUUAA